Molecule: ribosomal RNA, 253 nt
Filed under: uncultured bacterium
Lineage: Bacteria
Description: partial 16S ribosomal RNA
Rfam family: Bacterial small subunit ribosomal RNA
Source: RNAcentral
UACGUAGGGGGCUAGCGUUGUCCGGAAUCAUUGGGCGUAAAGAGCGUGUAGGCGGUCCGGUAAGUCCGCUGUAAAAGUCAAAGGCUCAACCUUUGAAUGUCAGUGGAUACUGCCGGGCUAGAGUCCGGAAGAGGCGAGUGGAACUCCUGGUGUAGCGGUGGAAUGCGCAGAUACCAGGAAGAACACCAACGGCGAAGGCAGCUCGCUAGGACGGUACUGACGCUGAGACGCGAAAGCGUGGGGAGCGAACAGG